UACGUAGGGGGCGAGCGUUGUCCGGAAUCAUUGGGCGUAAAGCGCGUGUAGGCGGUCCGGUAAGUCCGCUGUGAAAGUCGGGGGCUCAACCCUCGGAUGCCGGUGGAUACUGUCGGGCUUGAGUACGGAAGAGGCGAGUGGAAUUCCUGGUGUAGCGGUGAAAUGCGUAGAUAUCUGGAGGAACACCGGUGGCGAAGGCGGCAUUCUGGACCGAUAUUGACGCCGAGGAGCGAAAGCCAGGGGAGCAAACGGG
Molecule: ribosomal RNA, 253 nt
Filed under: uncultured bacterium
Lineage: Bacteria
Description: partial 16S ribosomal RNA
Rfam family: Bacterial small subunit ribosomal RNA
Source: RNAcentral